RNAcentral lists this ribosomal RNA (429 nucleotides) under bacterium. RNAcentral's name for it is "partial 16S ribosomal RNA". It matches the Rfam family "Bacterial small subunit ribosomal RNA", at positions 355 to 776 of the family's 1533-position model. The record is from RNAcentral.
UAGGGAAUCUUCCACAAUGGACGCAAGUCUGAUGGAGCAACGCCGCGUGAGUGAAGAAGGUUUUCGGAUCGUAAAGCUCUGUUGUUGGUGAAGAAGGAUAGAGGCAGUAACUGGUCUUUAUUUGACGGUAAUCAACCAGAAAGUCACGGCUAACUACGUGCCAGCAGCCGCGGUAAUACGUAGGUGGCAAGCGUUGUCCGGAUUUAUUGGGCGUAAAGCGAGCGCAGGCGGAAUGAUAAGUCUGAUGUGAAAGCCCACGGCUCAACCGUGGAACUGCAUCGGAAACUGUCAUUCUUGAGUGCAGAAGAGGAGAGUGGAAUUCCAUGUGUAGCGGUGGAAUGCGUAGAUAUAUGGAAGAACACCAGUGGCGAAGGAGGCUCUCUGGUCUGCAACUGACGCUGAGGCUCGAAAGCAUGGGUAGCGAACAGG